UCAUAAUUGGGCUUGACAUCCCACCCGUGGUCUCGAGAUCCUCUUCGGCUGCGUCGUCCGUGGUCGCGAGGAGAUCACCAAGCUCGAGGGAGAUCAUCGAUCGUAGAAGCUCUCAUCAAUGAUGCUCAGUGGUUCCGGUGGAUCUGGCGUCGUCGGUGAGGCAUCUCUACCCCUCCCCUCGUUCUCCAUCCCGUUUCAUUUGACCUAGGUUGGGGGCUUCUAUGCAUAAAUCUUUCGCUGCAUGCUGAUUCACAAGGGGUUUCGCUACCUCGGGCCUAAAAGUUUGUUCUCGAUUGUUAUUAUUUGGGAGGAUUGAAUUGAUUCUGAUUGAUACCAUGGAGGGAUAAGAAUUCGGUCGAUAUCCGUUGAUAGGACAUCAUCCGUGAGAUGUAUCGGGCUGUGGACAAUCUUUGUUCUCUUAACAGCCAUUCUGUCGGUAGCGUGACUUGAUGUUACUGAGUGGAUAGCCUGUGAUACUUUUGCCAUGGACUUUCAAGAGGAUCGCUAAUAUCGCUAUGCCAUGAGAAUUGAUAAAGAUGAUACAAGCGUUAUUAUUAGGAGGGAUCAUCGUCUUUGAUGUUCCAUCUAUUGGUAUCAGAAUUCCUCUAUGAUUCCUAUAGAAGAUAUCACCUUGUCAACCUUAAUGCAGUUAACUAUAUUUUUUGAUGGCAACAAGUCAAUUCCGAUCACCUUUUCUCAAAUGGAGAAUUGGCUUCUCAGAGAAAGAGACCUGAAGUGGUGACAUCAAGAUUUACUAAAAUAUUUCUUGUUAAGUUUGUUAUCAGACCAUGCUUUGAUAAGAUCCAAUUGAAAUAUGCUAUUAGAGGAUGAAAGCAUCAGAAAUUCUUUCUUUGCACAUUGCAAAGCUGAUGGGCUUGUUCAAUGGCUUGUUUCUAGCUUAAGGGCACUAGUAGUUGCACAUAUCAUGGAUAUUUGAAGGAGACAAGGCAAGACAGGUUUGUUUAUUCUUAGGCACUUGCCUAUGGGUUCCUGGCCACUGUACAUAAUGAGAAUGGAAGUCCCUACUGCAUCAGAAGUCAAUCGUGAAGCCGAAAACAUAGCAAGAGGACCUCUAGAUGUCAUCUGUUUAAUGAGCACCUGAUUGAAAAUGGAUGAUGAUCUCAAAGAAGAUUGUAUUGAUCAAGAUAAUCUUUUAAAUAAAGUUUUCAGCAAGGAAAUGCUAUAAAGCCAGGGAGAGCUUCACCGAGAAAUAUCUCAUGAAUUCAGUAUGGUAGUAGGUGGUUGGUUUUUGGUGUUGCAGCUUUUCUAGGUUGCCAUUGAUCUAAUUGUGGUGAGAUUUCCCUGAUCCGACAAAGAUGUUGGGAUUGUGGCAGGUUUUCAAAGACAUCUAAAUCCGACUUGACUCUACCCUCUGCUUUAAGUUCAUGUACCUUGAGAUUCCAAGUCUAGUAUUACUUGGUAUCUUAGUUUCCUAGUUUUCUAGGUUCAUGUACCUCCCGUUCGUCUCUUUAUUAUUGCUCAUCAUCAUCCAAUGUACGUUGCUAUUGCCCUGUUAUGGUUGCCUUCACCUUGUAAUCUUCGUCAUGUCAUAUCCGUGCAAUCGGAUCCGCUCCACCACGGGGGUUCAUAGGAGUUAAGCUUACAAUCAACUAUAUUUCUAGAAAAAGUAUUUCUUGUUUUUAUGAUAAUUUUUUUUAAUUUUUUUUCUCGAAUGACAUUAUUUUUUAAUAAUUUUUUUUAAUCUCAUAAAUAUCCCUCAUCAUCAUCUAUCGCAUGUCGCUUUCACCCAUGUAAUAGUAAUAGUUUCUUCACCCAUGUGAAUGACCUCACAGGUAGUAGAACAAAUGGGUCUCACUGAUCUUGUGAGAGGAGGCACCUAUUGUUUGUGUUAAUUAAUAUUAUAUUUUUUACUUAAGUUUUGAAGGAUCACCACCACCUCCUCUACUAUGGAGGAUAGAUUGUUGUUCUUAUCAUCUGUGACAAGGGGCAUACCCGAUCUAGUGGAAGCAUGUAACGUUGAAGCCCAAUAACUCUCAUUUAUGGAAUUACAAAAAAGAUAUCACAAAAAAAAAAGAAUACCUUUUUAAAAAAAUAAAAAAGGUUUUUUUUUCAAAAAAUAUAGUAAAAGUAAGAUAUACUUUUUAAAAAAAAUAUAGAUGAUUGGAAGUUUAACACUUAUGGAAAUACUAAUGCAGUUUCUUAUAAUAUAAUUAAUUAAUUUAUUAUACUAGAUGUAUUUAGGUAUUGAAUACAUCUCUCCAGCACACUUAUCCGAGUUACCUAGCAGUGCCCGAGUAUAAUACCCUAUCUCUUGGGCCCUUUGUGUAAUGAUCACAUAGGACAAGUGGGUUUUGGACAGGACGAAGGUGCGGGUGUUUGAAUUUACCAAAGAAAUAAGAAACUGAAAGCCAAUACACGUCAACUCUGCCACUCCGUUUCGUCAGCUUCUUCUUCUCGUCCUUCAUCCUCCGUCACCUCCAUUCCCAUCUUCUCCGCGGACGGGCCAUCCGAGCCUCAGCCUUCUCGAUCAGAUCCGUCUGCCUCAUCAUGUUCGGGCCGUAUGCGACGAUGAUGCUGAUUAAUUGUUCCCACUGUCACACCCCGCUGCAGCGCCCAUCGGGGGCGUCGUCCGUGCGACGCACCAUCUGCAAGUCCAUCUCCUACGUGUGCGAUUCUUGGGGCGUACCCACGCCACCAGGGGCUUCCCAUCCCCUUCCGCCUCCUGGCUCCGUCCCGCCUCCCGCACCCGCCGCCGAUGCUGGGUGGUGGUGGGCGAAAGAAAGCGGUGAGGUCACGGAUCGGAACACGUGAAACGAGCUUAUGGGGUGUAUAAAUGAUGCCAACUGCAUGAAGUACCUCCUCAUCAAUCGCUACAGCUUCGCAAAAUCCAACGUCAUCAUGCUAACAGGUACUACUUUGAUCUUUCCUAUCACCAUUCGCAACAACAGUCGAUCGAUCGGUCUCUCUCAAUUUGGUUCGUUUGGUUCCAGCCAUAAUCAUUGCGAGCAUAAUCCCUCGUAUAAGCUUCUGUUUCUGAGUUCUUUCCUGGAAAUUGAUGUCAUCUAUGCGAAGCAUGUUAAUGGACGUAGUUGCAAACGUGCAGUUUAUCUAGAGCUUAAACUCUGGAUUGGUUGUGGAUCUACCAGAUAAAUAUCAAUUACCCAGUUGGAUUUGUCAAGGAAAGCCUCUUGAUUGGUGGAGUUAGCUAGGACAAUGGUGAAUGAAUAUUAAGAUGCUGCAUCUCAAAAGGGAGGGAAAAAGACACGGGACUGGUGCCUAUGGAACUGAAUCAUGAGUUGCAAUCUAAGAUCAGAAUGCUCAGAGAACUAGUAGAUAAUUCCAUGAAUCAGAAUGUUUACCAUUAGUUUAUAACAAAGGAAGAAUUUGUUCAAAGAAAUGCUUAUGGCCGUGUAUGUAUGUUCAUCACUUCCAUAAUCUUGAUUCUUUUUCAACCAUUAUGGCAUCAGAUUGAUAAUUAUGUGCAGCAAAGCAAUCCAUAAUCACUUGAAGUGGUGAAUAAAGCAGCUCUGUUUUUUUUUUCUUUUAAUUUUAUGAAAGAUAAUUGUGUUUUUCUUGGCA
Molecule: long non-coding RNA, 3540 nt
Organism: Musa acuminata AAA Group (dessert banana)
Lineage: Eukaryota; Viridiplantae; Streptophyta; Magnoliopsida; Zingiberales; Musaceae
Exons: 2
Source: RefSeq, a predicted model, not a curated record